Molecule: ribosomal RNA, 498 nt
Filed under: uncultured Glomus
Lineage: Eukaryota; Fungi; Glomeromycota; Glomeromycetes; Glomerales; Glomeraceae
Description: SSU rRNA
Rfam family: Eukaryotic small subunit ribosomal RNA
Source: RNAcentral
CCAAUAGCGUAUAUUAAAGUUGCUGCAGUUAAAAAGCUCGUAGUUGAAUUUCGGGACCAUCAUGUCGGUCGUGCCUCGGUACGUACUGGCAUUGUUGGUUUCUACCUUCUGACGAACCAUGAUGUCAUUAAUUUGGUGUUAUGGGGAGUUAGGACUGUUACUUUGAAAAAAUUAGAGUGUUUAAAGCAGGCUUUAGCUUGAAUACAUUAGCAUGGAAUAAUGAAAUAGGACGUUCGAACCUAUUUUGUUGGUUUCUAGGAUCAACGUAAUGAUUAAUAGGGAUAGUUGGGGCAUUAGUAUUCAAUUGUCAGAGGUGAAAUUCUUGGAUUUAUUGAAGACGAACUACUGCGAAAGCAUUUGCCAAGGAUGUUUUCAUUAAUCAAGAACGAAAGUUAGGGGAUCGAAGACGAUCAGAUACCGUCGUAGUCUUAACCAUAAACUAUGCCGACUAGGGAUCGGAUGAUGUUAAUUUUUUAAUGACUCAUUCGGCGCCUUACG